GUUAAGCGGGGAUGAGGUGUGGGUAGCGGAGAAAUUCCAAUCGAACUUGGAGAUAGCUGGUUCUCUCCGAAUAGCUUUAGGGCUAGCCUCGGAUAGAAUCAUGAGGUAGAGCAACUGUUUGGACUAGGGGCCCUUCUCGGGUUACCGAAUUCAGAUAAACUCCGAAUGCCAUUGAUUUAUAUCCGGGAGUCAGACUACGAGUGAUAAGAUCCGUAGUCGAGAGGGAAACAGCCCAGACCACCAGCUAAGGUCCCAAAGUUUAUGUUAAGUGGAAAAGGAUGUGGGGUUGCUUAGACAACUAGGAUGUUGGCUCAGAAGCAGCCAUCAUUUAAAGAGUGCGUAAUAGCUCACUAGUCGAGUGACCCUGCGCCGAAAAUUUACCGGGGCUAAACAUAACACCGAAGCUGUGGAUAGAACUUAGGUUCUAUGGUAGGAGAGCGUUCUAAGGGCGUCGAAGCUAGACCGUGAGGACUGGUGGAGCGCUUAGAAGUGAGAAUGCCGGUAUGAGUAGCGAAAGACGGGUGAGAAUCCCGUCCACCGAAUGAC
This 546-nucleotide ribosomal RNA is filed under the name uncultured Enterococcus sp. RNAcentral's name for it is "bacterial LSU rRNA". It matches the Rfam family "Bacterial large subunit ribosomal RNA", at positions 791 to 1345 of the family's 2925-position model. The record is from RNAcentral. Lineage: Bacteria; Bacillati; Bacillota; Bacilli; Lactobacillales; Enterococcaceae.